Molecule: long non-coding RNA, 1660 nt
Organism: Haplochromis burtoni (Burton's mouthbrooder)
Lineage: Eukaryota; Metazoa; Chordata; Actinopteri; Cichliformes; Cichlidae
Exons: 5
Source: RefSeq, a predicted model, not a curated record
GUUAGAAUAUAGUUAAGAUGGCUAACUGAUAACUUGAUGUGUCUCCCUGUUACCUCUACGAUGUCAAGUCUGUGCUGAAUUCAUUAAAGAGCACUGUUCCUUGAUGAGGACUGGUUUAUUACCAGCCGCUGCUACAUUUUGGCGACGAGUAACCCUGCCUGUUUUUUCAGCUUAGUUUUUUGCUGAGUCAUCAUGGCUGCAAACGUCCAUCCACAGCCCAUGUUUUUGCCUUGCCCUGGAGAUCCUGCUUUGCCCUUCAACAUGUGGAUGUGUAUGUUCAACAAUUAUUUGCUUGUGAUCACUGCAACAGGGAAUGAAGCAUGAAGAAGAGCUACUUUACUCCACUGCUUAGGAACAGAGGGACAGAGGAUUUUCUACUCACUGCCAAAUACAGGUGAUACCUUCGCCUCUGCUGUUACUGCCCUAGAAGAACACUUUUCACCCAAGAUUCACUUUGUCUAAUGCUGGUCACACUGGGAGGAGACUUACGGACUGGCGAGGAGAAGCCGUCAGAGCUGGCUGAAGUAGUCCUCCGGUGAUUGCCUCAGAUGAGACGCAGGUGGUUUGUAUUUUCACUUAUCCAGGAGCACUUCUUUGAUGCAGCAAGUGGCACAGGAUACAUUUCUUUCAGUUUCUGAAAACUGUCCAAAGAAAGAUUCGUUGUGGAUCUCCAACACAACCUAAUAGGUUGACAGACAGUUCUUCAGGUGGUCCAAAUCUCGAAAGGACUGAAUGUUAUACACCAGCUUGAUGGUGAUGCUUGCAAGGAGGUCGUGUCUUUGCUCAACCAUACUACAGACAACUCUGUGAUUUUCCAGAAGAUUAAAGAGACCAUUCAGCACUAUUGGAGGCUUGUUAAUGACCCAAGCAGAAGCGUUGGUAUCCUAUCCACUUUUCCAAGAUUCCUGGAUACAAAAGGAAUGGUGGAGCAAAACUUCACUCCUGUUCGCUGAUGACACAUCCUCCAGGUUGCUUCAGAAAUGAAAGACAUUCUUCAGGCCAAAUGCCAUAAAAGAGGCUGAAAAGCUCACUUUAACACCCUUUAACAAACCUUUGAACAAGAAAUGGCAUUGCUGUUGUUGUUGCUACAUCUUCUUCCACCACCACCAGGAGGACAAAGGUCUCCAAAAAUCAGCGCGAGUGAUGCAAGUCAGAGACUUGUAGUCUUUCAUAAGUCAUGCUGGAGUCUGGAAGAGCAUCUCUGCAAUCAACAAGGUCGGCAACCAUACCUCCUCGCUGUCAGGCAAAAGAAGAGCAAGACUGACACACACCAGGCGAGCCACUCACUCGGGGCAUUUGAUGAACUUUUCAAAGCACAUUUUGUGUUUAACUUGUCCCAAGUGAAUAUAAAGCUGGACCUGUUAUUUGCAGUGCAGUGGAAGAAGACACGCCUGUCUUUCGCCAAAUAAGUGACUUACUUUUGGUUGAAGAUAAUUUUUUUUUUUAUGGGAAACAGGUUGUUUACAGAGUGUUUUGAUAACCAUCUAUGCAUGCUGAGCAGAGAUGCAUAGUGAAUAUGUCAGAUCUAAAGUUUUAUAAAUCUUUUGACAUGCAAAGGUCAUACAAUGUUUCAGAUGAGACAGUGUACAUUGUACCGUCAUUCACAAUUGUUUGAAGACACAAUAAAUGUCCUUUUGGGGAAUAUUUAUUUUGUGGAAUU